RNAcentral lists this ribosomal RNA (381 nucleotides) under uncultured soil bacterium. RNAcentral's name for it is "bacterial SSU rRNA". It matches the Rfam family "Bacterial small subunit ribosomal RNA", at positions 26 to 409 of the family's 1533-position model. The record is from RNAcentral.
AGGUUGAACGCUAGCGGGAUGCUUUACACAUGCAAGUCGAACGGCAGCGCGGACUUCGGUCUGGCGGCGAGUGGCGAACGGGUGAGUAAUAUAUCGGAACGUGCCCAGUAGCGGGGGAUAACUACGCGAAAGCGUGGCUAAUACCGCAUACGCCCUACGGGGGAAAGGGGGGGAUUCUUCGGAACCUCUCACUAUUGGAGCGGCCGAUAUCAGAUUAGCUAGUUGGUGAGGUAAAGGCUCACCAAGGCGACGAUCUGUAGCUGGUUUGAGAGACGACCAGCCACACUGGGACUGAGACACGGCCCAGACUCCUACGGGAGGCAGCAGUGGGGAAUUUGGACAGUGGGGGAAACCUGAUCCAGUCCAUCCCGCGUGUGCGAU